UACGUAGGGGGCAAGCGUUGUCCGGAUUUAUUGGGCGUAAAGAGCGUGUAGGCGGCCAAGCAGGUCAGCUGUGAAAACUCGAGGCUCAACCUCGAGACGUCGGUUGAAACCGCUUGGCUAGAGUCCGGAAGAGGAGAGUGGAAUUCCCGGUGUAGCGGUGAAAUGCGCAGAUAUCGGAAAGAACACCCGUGGCGAAGGCGGCUCUCUGGGACGGUACUGACGCUGAGGAGCGAAAGCGUGGGGAGCGAACAGG
RNAcentral lists this ribosomal RNA (253 nucleotides) under uncultured bacterium. RNAcentral describes it as "partial 16S ribosomal RNA". It matches the Rfam family "Bacterial small subunit ribosomal RNA", at positions 524 to 776 of the family's 1533-position model. The record is from RNAcentral.